UACUCUGUUUUAGGUAAUGUCUU
Molecule: non-coding RNA, 23 nt
Filed under: Arabidopsis thaliana (thale cress)
Lineage: Eukaryota; Viridiplantae; Streptophyta; Magnoliopsida; Brassicales; Brassicaceae
Source: RNAcentral